GAUGAACGCUGGCGGCGUGCCUAAUACAUGCAAGUCGAGCGGACGGACCAGAAGCUUGCUGCGCUGUUGUUAGCGGCGCGCGGGUGAGUAACACGGGUAUAACCUACCUAUCAUACGGGUAUAACUUCGGGAAACCGUAGCUAAUACCGGAUAAUAUCUUGAACCGCGGGGUUCAGGAGAGAAAUACGGUCUUGCUUUCGCUUAUAGCUUGUUCCGCGCUGCAUGAGCUAGUUGGUAAGGUAACGGCUUACCAAGGCAAAGAUGCAUAGCCGACCUGAGAGGGUGAUCGGCCACACUGGAACUGAGACACGGUCCAGACUCCUACGGGAGGCAGCAGUAGGGAAUGGUGCGGCAUGGGCGAAAGUCUGACGGUGCAACGAAGCGUGAGGGAUGAAGGUCUUCGGAGCGUAAACCUCUGUUAGUUGGGAAGCACCUAUGUGUAAGUAACUGUCGACAUCUUGACGGUACCUAAUGAGAAAGCAACGGCUAACUACGUG
This 497-nucleotide ribosomal RNA is filed under the name uncultured bacterium. RNAcentral's name for it is "partial 16S ribosomal RNA". It matches the Rfam family "Bacterial small subunit ribosomal RNA", at positions 28 to 507 of the family's 1533-position model. The record is from RNAcentral.